Cercocebus atys (sooty mangabey) is the source of this 291-nucleotide unclassified non-coding RNA. It matches the Rfam family "Metazoan signal recognition particle RNA". From Rfam's summary of the family: The signal recognition particle (SRP) is a universally conserved ribonucleoprotein. It is involved in the co-translational targeting of proteins to membranes. NCBI's taxonomy places the organism in Eukaryota, Metazoa, Chordata, Mammalia, Primates, Cercopithecidae. The record is from Ensembl.
GCCAGGAAUGGUGGUGCAGGCCUGUAGUUCCAGCUACUUAGGAGGCUGAGGCAGGAGGAUCCCUUCAGCCCCAAGGGCUCUGGGCAAUAAUACACUAUGCCAAUCAGGUUUCUACACUAAGUUCAGCAUCAAUACGGUGACCUCCGGGGAGCAGGGGACCACCAGAAGUGGUGAACCAGCCUAGGUCAGAAACAGAGCCGGUUAAAACUCCUGUGCUGUUCAGCAGCAGAACUAUGCCUGUGAAUAGCCACUGCACUCCAGCCUGGGCAACGUAGCAAGACCGCCGUCUCU